GUUACAUUGAUUGAUUGAUAUUCAGUAAGUUAUUUAAUGAUUGGUGUCGCAGUUCACGAAUUCGCUAACAACUUUUAUCCCUGUCCUAUUUCGGCGAUUUCUGCUAUUAAUCACGGUAGAUGUUACACGGUCAUUUGCCGCCAAUGAGACUUGCCCACAGGCAAAAUUUCAACGAAACAGUCAUUAUGAACACGAGAUGCGAGAGCCUUCUGUUGCAUGCCGUGAGCCACAGCCACAGCCACAGCCCCAGCAUCAAGAGCGGCCUCCCACAAAAAGAAGGAAUGGCACAACAGACGUCAUUGUGGAGGCUACCAGGACAUGAAGGCUGUGGCUGAUAUGGCCGGAACUCUGCCCCAGCCUGUCCGAGGAGACCAAUACAGUGCCCUUGCCACCCACAUCGCAGCUGAACUGCGUGAGAUGGAUAAUGUGGGUAGUAAGAUAUUUACAACUGCCGGAAGUCACGGUUUGCAGUGGUAUUUGAUGGACAGGUGGGAUUUGCUGCAUUUGACAACACAAGAAGCACGACCAUCCACCUCUGGGUAUAUCCAGGCUGCCUUGCAGCAGGCUGGUAUAGAAGAGAAUACCGUAUAAUUUUUUUGUAGCUCUCCAAUCUUCUUAAUUUAUUUUUGUACUCAGGAUGCCUCAUGUUGUAAAACACCUAAUCGGCCUCAUACAUCUCUAUUAAUUUUGUAGUUUCGGACACCAAUUGGUACAUGCUGUGUUAAUAAAAUAAAAUGAAAUAAAAAUUGAUCUUAAUGAACA
Molecule: long non-coding RNA, 762 nt
Organism: Schistocerca piceifrons (Central American locust)
Lineage: Eukaryota; Metazoa; Arthropoda; Insecta; Orthoptera; Acrididae
Exons: 2
Source: RefSeq, a predicted model, not a curated record